UAACCCACGUCUUUUAUAUUGUCAAAAAAAUUUGUUGUUUCACUGCAAAAUGAAGACAAAACUUGGGAAGAUGAAACUUAUUGAACAAUAAUACAUGCUUAAUGUGAUCUUAAACAUCAACUAUAUAGGAUAGUUCGUCACAUUUUUUUACCAUCCUAUUAUUCAUGCCCAUAUGAAGAAGAAGAAGCUGAAGCUGAAGCUGAUAGCAGCUUUCACCAAAAAAAAAAAGCAAAAUGCCAGGAAAUAUUUCCAAGACCCAGCGGACGAAAUUUCUUUCAGUUGGUAAGGAUGUAUAAAUGAAGAUCAAUGUAUUAAGCAGCUCCAUGCUCUUCAAUCAAAUUCUAGCACGAAAUUUAGGAUAGGAUAUUGAUCGAAAAAUGUACAUUUCUUACACAACAGACUUGCUAUCUCCAGCUUG
This 418-nucleotide unclassified non-coding RNA is filed under the name Hevea brasiliensis (rubber tree). The record is from RNAcentral. Lineage: Eukaryota; Viridiplantae; Streptophyta; Magnoliopsida; Malpighiales; Euphorbiaceae.